UGCUCCAUGUCGUCGUCUUCCGCAGCUCCGGCUUGACGAAGUAGACGCAGAGUGAUGAUGACCUCCGCUCCACUGUCCUUCAUGGCGCCGGCUCGACGGCUUCGGCGAUGGGCUGCGUCGUGGCGUUCUCGAUGUCGCUCUCUUCCACGACCCCAUCAUGAUGAAGUAGACGUGGUGAUGACGACCUCCACUCCACUGUCCUUCAUGGCGCCGGCUUGACCAGGAAGGCGAUGGGCGUUGUACCAGCAAGCUCCACGGCACCGUAUUGACGAAGUGGACAUCAACGGCGUCCCUCGAGCUCCACCGCGCCACCAUCGGGCUGUGCAUGCAUGCAAUAUAAAGUCCAUACGAGAGAUUAGAUCACGAUUUUACCGUUCAGGAACAUCAGCUUGCUGUCCAUGUCACUGGUGCCGCCAAAGUUUCGUGCGUGCAGAUGAGUGUACGCUGGUCCUUCUCCUCUACGUGUAUGCCGGCGUAACAGUCCGCGUCCUUAGACUGGCCGACGUUCCGUGCGAUCGGGCGUCGGGUGCUCCUGCCGGACGUCGACUUUCGGUUGUUCCUUGAUGGAUGUGCUUUGUGCGUGGUGGAUCGAUGUAUGGCUGGUUGGUUGAUGGAUGUUGUAAACGAUGAAUGGCUUCGUGAUGGAUGGAUGUUUGGUGCGUGGAUGGAUGUUGUAAACGAUGGAUGGAUUUUGUGAUGGAUCGAUCUCUGGUGUGUAGAUGGACUUUUGUGAUGGCUGAUGCGUGGAUG
Molecule: long non-coding RNA, 750 nt
Filed under: Hordeum vulgare
Lineage: Eukaryota; Viridiplantae; Streptophyta; Magnoliopsida; Poales; Poaceae
Description: long non-coding RNA (HVUL_LNC011106)
Source: RNAcentral